Molecule: ribosomal RNA, 360 nt
Filed under: Triticum aestivum (bread wheat)
Lineage: Eukaryota; Viridiplantae; Streptophyta; Magnoliopsida; Poales; Poaceae
Description: partial small subunit ribosomal RNA
Source: RNAcentral
AUGGGUAAGUUGCUAGCCUUGAAGCAACUAUAUGGUGAUUGGGAUAUCAGCUUUGACAAUUUGUAUAGGUUUAAGGCACAAGUUGAAAGUUGUUGCCCCGGUAGCAUAGUGCAGAUUGAUCAUCACACAAUAAAUGGUAAAAUCAGGUUUAGAAGAAUUUUUGUUGCUAUGAAACCUUGCAUAGAGGGGUUCCCUAGUGGUUGCAGACCAUAUUUGGCAAUAGAUAGCACAUUCUUGACAGGCAGAUUCAAGGGGCAGCUGGCUAGUGCUACCGCCAUUGAUGGCCAUAAUUGGAUAUAUCUGGUUAGUUUUGGAGUCUUUGAUUCUGAAACAAACGAGAAUUGGAUUUGGUUGAUGUAA